This 2154-nucleotide long non-coding RNA is filed under the name Marmota monax (woodchuck). The record is from RNAcentral. Lineage: Eukaryota; Metazoa; Chordata; Mammalia; Rodentia; Sciuridae.
CUGCAGCUGAGAGUCUUCCUGCAGAGCGCGGGUUCCCAGAGCCUGGGGGCUCACACACGGUCUCCGGUCUCCGCCUCUGCCUGGAGGGGCAGCGGGUGGGGUGAGUGUGCUGAAAGCGCAGGCCCACCUCGAGGCCAAGGCCGGCUGCUGUGAGACCCAGGCCUGCUGGGCGCGUCUGAGCCCACCUGCAGGAAGAACAGCAGCUCCUCCUCCCACAGUCUCCUCCUGACGUCCUGGUGUGCAGAGGGUCCAGGUGCCACACCUCUGCUCACUGGGCAAGGCUUUGCUGGGUUCGGCUCACUGGUGUGACUUCUGUCAGGGAAGUCCCUCUUCUUGGUGACCUGUCUCUGAGGAACGCUGCUCCUCAGCCAAGGCCACGAGGCCCACGCUGGGCACUGCCGCAAGACGUCCACCAUGAGCAACCUCCACUCCUCCUUUCCUUGCGGGGACUUCGGCAACUGAGUGCGGACACACCGGAGCCCUCCAUCUGCCCAGCACGAGGGGGCACUGCGAAUGUAGGUCUCCCUGGAGAGCAGGUGGCCGUCCCUGUCACCAGUGCACCAGCUGUGAGACCACCUAAGUGUCGGUGGGCCCAGGGGACCCUGAGCUGGUGGCCGCGGGCAGGGAGGCCGACACUGGGGACCAGGGGGGCACUGCAGAGAUGCCAGGGAGGGCAGGAUGGAGAGGGCCGGGGAGACCAAGGGGUGAGGCCCAGGCCGCAGGGACCUCUGCAGAGGGCUUGGGCGUGAUUGGCCCUGGACCACCAUCACGUGGCAUCUCCAGGGGCCAGGAUGGGUGGUGAGGGUACCGCACCCCUGGACUAGCUGGUUCUCACAGCACUGUCUGUGGGCCCCUGGGCCCUGCAGAGGCCUCCUGGGACCUGAAGAUGACAUCACCCUCCAGUACACUGGGACGGGGCGCGCCCUUCCAUCCCCUGGGGUUUGCUGGGGCCCAGAAGCCACGUGAUGGGAACUGGUGCUGACCAAGGCUGAGGCCCUGGCCCUCACACAGCACCUUCUCCUGGAAGCCUGCUCGCUCUUCCAGAGGACGGCCUCCGUGAGCGGGACUCCUCCCUCGAACCUGCUCUCAUCUUAUUGAAGCAGCUCAAAGUCACUGUGAGCACUCAGGGCAGGAGCCCACCUUCUCUCUAGGCGGAGGAGGUCGGAGCCCCGCGAGGCAGAGGGCUGGAGGGACAGGCAUUCGCACUGCCCGGGGAGGGGGGGCACGAAGGUAACAGGACACAGACGCAGAGAUCAGGCUGUUGCACAUCCUUCCCGAGGGUGGCUGGCCUCCCUUCACUUGUCACAUGGCUACACAAGGUCCCGGGUGGGGGGGGCCUGGGGUCACCAUCUGGAGGAUGCGGUGACGUGCCAUGCGGGCCUAUCCUGGGUCAGGAGAAUGCGUGUGCACAGGCCCUUCCAAUGCCCUCGGUGGCAACGUCACACAAGCUAGAAAUACAGGGGCUCCGAUGACCACCCUGAGCCAGGCCUUUCCCAGACUUCUUAGCUCCUGACCUGGGCAGCCAGGCCCUGCACCCUCAGCAGCACACCUCUGUCCUGGCUGGGCUUCUGGACCCUUUCUCCCUGUCACAUCCCCAGGGAAAAUCACCCAUUUCCCGGGGAAUCCUCAUUUAUUCUGAUACCUGUCAGUGUUGAAACACAGAUAUCCAGCACAGAACGUGCAAUCCAUGCGUUUUUGUUGAAUUUUAAUGUUAAUUGAAUAAAAUGCGGGUCAAAACCAAGCUAGGAACACAUAUUUAAUCGCCAUUGGGAUGACUCACUGUCUUCUCGUAGCUUGAUUUGGAUAGAACACUCAGUCCUAUUAGAUACUCAUGUCUAAGUGUAGAGAUGCAGCCGUGAGGCCGGCAAAGACAUCAUGUGUUCCCUCGCUGCCGCGUGCUCUGCGGGUCACAGAAGCCGCAGAUGCAGGCUGGUCUUCCUUCUCAGGAUGCGCUGCUCUCCCGCGCACACCUCCCCCAGCAGGACAGCAGGGCUGACACUCGGGCAGCCUCUGUUCACUCUUGAUUUGCCAAGCUGUCCACCUGCAGGUGAUGGUCAGAACAGAGCACGGCUCACUGGUCAGUUCUCAGCCACCGAGAGUCAGCGGGGGUGUGUGGAGCCCAGGCCUGGCUGCAGCAGGAGGCAGAGCCAGGGG